UGGGGAAUAUUGGACAAUGGGCGCAAGCCUGAUCCAGCAAUGCCGCGUGUGUGAAGAAGGCCUUCGGGUUGUAAAGCACUUUUAUCAGGAGCGAAACGCUGUCGGCUAAUACCCGGCGGAACUGACGGUACCUGAGGAAUAAGCACCGGCUAACUUCGUGCCAGCAGCCGCGGUAAUACGAAGGGUGCAAGCGUUAAUCGGAAUUACUGGGCGUAAAGCGUGCGUAGGCGGUUUCUUAAGUCUGCUGUGAAAUCCCCGGGCUCAACCUGGGAAUGGCAGUGGAUACUGGGAGGCUAGAGUGUGUCAGAGGGUGGUGGAAUUCCCGGUGUAGCGGUGAAAUGCGUAGAGAUCGGGAGGAACAUCAGUGGCGAAGGCGGCCACCUGGGACAACACUGACGCUGAGGCACGAAAGCGUGGGGAGCAAACAGGAUUAGAUACCCUGGUAGUCCACGCCCUAAACGAUGCGAACUGGAUGUUGGUCUCAACUCGGAGAUCAGUGUCGAAGCUAACGCGUUAAGUUCGCCGCCUGGGAGUACGGUCGCAAGACUGAAACUCAAAUGAAUUGACGGGGUCAUAGCUGUUUCCU
Molecule: ribosomal RNA, 586 nt
Filed under: uncultured bacterium
Lineage: Bacteria
Description: partial 16S ribosomal RNA
Rfam family: Bacterial small subunit ribosomal RNA
Source: RNAcentral